CAGCCGCCGCGGUAAUACGGAGGGUGCAAGCGUUAAUCGGAAUUACUGGGCGUAAAGCGCACGCAGGCGGUCUGACAAGUCAGAUGUGAAAUCCCCGGGCUUAACCUGGGAACUGCAUUUGAAACUGUCAGGCUGGAGUCUUGUAGAGGGGGGUGGAAUUCCAGGUGUAGCGGUGAAAUGCGUAGAGAUCUGGAGGAAUACCGGUGGCGAAGGCGGCCCCCUGGACAAAGACUGACGCUCAGGUGCGAAAGCGUGGGGAGCAAACAGGAUUAGAGACCCCGGUAGUCCCUGUCUCUUAUAC
This 301-nucleotide ribosomal RNA is filed under the name uncultured bacterium. Its description in RNAcentral is "partial 16S ribosomal RNA". It matches the Rfam family "Bacterial small subunit ribosomal RNA", at positions 509 to 807 of the family's 1533-position model. The record is from RNAcentral.